GCUCAGGUGGCGGAAUUGGUAGACGCGCUGGACUCAAAAUCCAGUGUCCUCAACAGACGUGCGGGUUCGAUUCCCGCCCUGAGUA
RNAcentral lists this transfer RNA (85 nucleotides) under Odoribacter sp. RNAcentral describes it as "tRNA-Leu". It matches the Rfam family "tRNA". Rfam says of the family: Transfer RNA (tRNA) molecules are approximately 80 nucleotides in length. Their secondary structure includes four short double-helical elements and three loops (D, anti-codon, and T loops). The record is from RNAcentral. Lineage: Bacteria; Pseudomonadati; Bacteroidota; Bacteroidia; Bacteroidales; Odoribacteraceae. RNAcentral also lists the same sequence under 1 other name.